GCCCUUGUGGUGUAGCGGUCAGCAUGCUGGGCGCGUAUUCCAGAGGUCCACGGUUCGAGUCCCGGCGAAGGCG
This 73-nucleotide transfer RNA is filed under the name Stegodyphus mimosarum. It matches the Rfam family "tRNA". Rfam says of the family: Transfer RNA (tRNA) molecules are approximately 80 nucleotides in length. Their secondary structure includes four short double-helical elements and three loops (D, anti-codon, and T loops). Lineage: Eukaryota; Metazoa; Arthropoda; Arachnida; Araneae; Eresidae. The record is from Rfam by way of RNAcentral.